RNAcentral lists this ribosomal RNA (465 nucleotides) under uncultured bacterium. Its description in RNAcentral is "partial 16S ribosomal RNA". It matches the Rfam family "Bacterial small subunit ribosomal RNA", at positions 28 to 523 of the family's 1533-position model. The record is from RNAcentral.
GAUGAACGCUGGCGGCGUGCCUAACACAUGCAAGACGAGCGAACCCUUCGGGGUGAGCGGCGGACGGGUGAGUAACGCGUGGGUAACCUGCCCUGUACACACGGAUAACAUACCGAAAGGUAUGCUAAUACGAGAUAAUAUAUUUUAAUCGCAUGGUUAAGAUAUCAAAGCUCCGGCGGUACAGGAUGGACCCGCGUCUGAUUAGCUAGUUGGUGAGGUAAUGGCUCACCAAGGCGACGAUCAGUAGCCGACCUGAGAGGGUGAUCGGCCACACUGGAACUGAGACACGGUCCAGACUCCUACGGGAGGCAGCAGUGGGAAUAUUGCACAAUGGGCGAAAGCCUGAUGCAGCAACGCCGCGUGAGCGAUGAAGGCCUUCGGGUCGUAAAGCUCUGUCCUCAAGGAAGAUAAUGACGGUACUUGAGGAGGAAGCCCCGGCUAACUACGUGCCAGCCGCCGCUGUAA